AACUGGAUGAACAAGAGCAGAGAGCCUCUGGUGGGUAACGCUGCAGCCUGCCAGCGCCCGCCCUCUCUCAACAUAGCAGAGUGUGCAUGGUAAGGAAGUGAAUCACCUCCUUGGGGGAUGGUGCUGUUUUUAUGAAAACCUUUGAUCCUUGGUGUCCUUUAAUUGAUCUGUUCAACAAAUAUUUACUAAACACUUGUAAGCUAAGCUAACAUUAGGGCAGUGACUGAGGUGAAAACCCAGCUCUUUAGACAGCUAUCAUCCUAGGAGAGCUUCCUAGAAGCAGAACCAAGAAGCCAGAGGUUCUUCCUAGGAUGAGCUUUGGCUUCCUAAGGAAAUCUGAAAUGUUGACCCUGGUCACAACCUCCCAGCACAGCUUUGGAAUGAGACAUCAGCAUGGCCUCCUCUGGCUGAGCAGAGCCUCUGGAGCUCCACACCCUGCCUGCAGGGAGCCCUCAGGGUGCCCUCCAGAGUGCAGGGAGAAAC
RNAcentral lists this long non-coding RNA (483 nucleotides) under Androctonus crassicauda. The record is from RNAcentral. Lineage: Eukaryota; Metazoa; Arthropoda; Arachnida; Scorpiones; Buthidae.